This 253-nucleotide ribosomal RNA is filed under the name uncultured bacterium. Its description in RNAcentral is "partial 16S ribosomal RNA". It matches the Rfam family "Bacterial small subunit ribosomal RNA", at positions 524 to 776 of the family's 1533-position model. The record is from RNAcentral.
UACAGAGGUCUCAAGCGUUGUUCGGAUUCAUUGGGCGUAAAGGGUGCGUAGGCGGCGCGGUAAGUCGGGUGUGAAAUCUCGGAGCUUAACUCCGAAACUGCAUUCGAUACUGCCGUGCUCGAGGGUUGGAGGGGGGACUGGAAUUCUCGGUGUAGCAGUGAAAUGCGUAGAUAUCGAGAGGAACACCAGUGGCGAAGGCGAGUCCCUGGACAACUCCUGACACUGAGGCACGAAAGCUAGGGGAGCAAACAGG